UACGUAGGGUGCGAGCGUUAAUCGGAUUUAAUGGGCGUAAAGCGUGCGCAGGCGGCCCGUUAAGACAGGUGUGAAAUCCCUGGGCUCAACCUAGGAAUUGCGCUUGUGACUGGCGGGCUCGAGUACGGUAGAGGGGGGUGGAAUUCCUGGUGUAGCAGUGAAAUGCGUAGAGAUCAGGAGGAACACCGAUGGCGAAGGCAGCCCCCUGGGCCUGUACUGACGCUCAUGCACGAAAGCGUGGGGAGCAAACAGG
This 253-nucleotide ribosomal RNA is filed under the name uncultured microorganism. RNAcentral describes it as "partial 16S ribosomal RNA". It matches the Rfam family "Bacterial small subunit ribosomal RNA", at positions 524 to 776 of the family's 1533-position model. The record is from RNAcentral.